RNAcentral lists this ribosomal RNA (431 nucleotides) under uncultured Alphaproteobacteria bacterium. Its description in RNAcentral is "bacterial SSU rRNA". It matches the Rfam family "Bacterial small subunit ribosomal RNA", at positions 29 to 505 of the family's 1533-position model. The record is from RNAcentral. Lineage: Bacteria; Pseudomonadati; Pseudomonadota; Alphaproteobacteria.
AACGAACGCUGGCGGCAUGCUUAACACAUGCAAGUCGAACGCUGUCGCAAGACAGAGUGGCGCACGGGUGAGUAACGCGUGGGAAACUGCCCUUCUGUGCGGGACAACAUCUGGAAACGGAUGCUAAUACCGCAUACGCCCUACGGGGGAAAGGUCCGCCGCAGAAGGAGGUGCCCGCGUCCGAUUAGCUUGUUGGUGAGGUAAGAGCUCACCAAGGCAACGAUCGGUAGCUGGUCUGAGAGGAUGAUCAGCCACACUGGGACUGAGACACGGCCCAGACUCCUGCGGGAGGCAGCAGUGGGGAAUAUUGGACAAUGGGGGCAACCCUGAUCCAGCAAUGCCGCGUGUGUGAUGAAGGCCUUAGGGUUGUAAAGCACUUUCACUGGUGAAGAUGAUGACGGUAGCCAGAGAAGAAGCCCCGGCUAACUUCG